KGCCAGCKCCAAUAGGCRUAUAUUAAAGUGGUUGCGGUUAAAACGCCCGUAGUUYGAUCARCGGAUUUKGAGAACGGUCUGCCGAUGGGCUGUACUGUUCUCCUGUCCUAUUUUCUCUAGUUCGCUCUAGGUGCUCUUCACUGAGUGUCUAGAGUGGCUGGAACUUUUACUUUGAAAAAAUKAGAGYGCUCAAAGCAGGCGUCUCAGCCUGAAUAGUGGUGCAUGGAAUAAUGGAAUAGGACCUCAGUUCUAUUUUGUUGGUUUUCGGAACAUGAGGUAAUGAUUAAGAGGGACAGACGGGGGCAUUCGUAUUGCGACGUUAGAGGUGUAAAUUCUUGGAUCGUCGCAAGACGAACUACUGCGAAAGCAUUUUGCCAAGAAUGUUUCCAUUAAUCAAGGACGAUAGUUAGAGGUUCGAAGGCGAUCAGAUACCGCCCUAGUUCUAACCGUAAACGAUGUCAACCAGCGAUCCGCAGGAGUUAUUCAUGACUCUGCGGGCAGCUUCCGGGAAACCAAAGUUUUUGGAUUCCGGGGGGAGUAUGGUUGCAAAGCUGAAACUUAAAGGAAUUGACGGAAGGGCACCACCAGGAGUGGACUGCGGCUUAAUUUGACUCAACGCGGGGAAACUCACCCGGCCCGGACACCGUAAGGAUUGACAGAUUGAGAGCUCUUUCUUGAUUCGGUGGGUGGUGGUGCAUGGCCGUUCUUAGUUGGUGGAGCGAUUUGUCUGGUUAAUUCCGAUAACGAACGAGACUCUAGCCUACUCAAAUAGAAGGCAAAUUAUUCGUUUGCUGUACUUCUUAGAGGGACUCACGGGCGUCUAGCCUCACGAGAUUGAGCAAU
This 843-nucleotide ribosomal RNA is filed under the name uncultured Rhabdolaimus. RNAcentral describes it as "SSU rRNA". It matches the Rfam family "Eukaryotic small subunit ribosomal RNA", at positions 585 to 1473 of the family's 1831-position model. The record is from RNAcentral. Lineage: Eukaryota; Metazoa; Nematoda; Enoplea; Enoplida; Rhabdolaimidae.